AGACUUAGGUUCAAACUUUAAACCAAUGGCCUUCAGAGCCCUAAAUAAGAGCUCAGACUCUUAGUCUCUGCCN
RNAcentral lists this transfer RNA (73 nucleotides) under Draco rhytisma. RNAcentral describes it as "tRNA-Trp". Lineage: Eukaryota; Metazoa; Chordata; Lepidosauria; Squamata; Agamidae. The record is from RNAcentral.